RNAcentral lists this long non-coding RNA (647 nucleotides) under Rattus norvegicus (Norway rat). RNAcentral describes it as "long non-coding RNA NONRATT015410". Lineage: Eukaryota; Metazoa; Chordata; Mammalia; Rodentia; Muridae. The record is from RNAcentral.
AUCCAGCACCACGGACAGCUCCCGGCGGUUCCCUGAGUGCCUAGUCCGUGUGCAUGACUGGAGGAGACUCCCAUAGCCUUGCAGAGGGAAAGCAGAUACAACCCACCCCAGACCAUGGCGGUUUCCCUGCAACGAGCCCAGUGGCUUUCUGGAGGACACUUUUCCUGGAGGGAAGCAGUGACUCAGCAUAAGUUCUUGCCUGGCCUCACUUGAGAGUCUCUUCCCGCUGAUCAGCAGAGGUCGUCUCCCUCUUCACCAGACCCUUGCUGCCUACCUGGUCCUUCUAACUGUGCAUUGGGUUUGGAGCACUUUAAACAGUAGAAUGACUGCAAGUCAAGAGCUCAGCCUACAGGAAGGACAACAAAAGGCAGGGUCAGUGCUGGAGAGACUGGACAGACCAAAAAGAAGACCUGACCUCACCCUGAGCACCCCUGUCAUGCAAAGUACGUUUGCAGACUGCCAACUGGCUGGCUCCAGCAAGCAGAAGUGGACGGGGUGGAGGCUCAACCUGGCAGCUUCUCCCCAAAGCCAUGCCUGGUCACUUCCAGCAAGUUGUCCAGCCUGACCAUCCAUUUCCCCUGUCGCCUCUCAGCUGGGUCCCCGAGACCCACCCCAUCUCCAAUAAAGAACGUUGCAUACAGAGCAUU